RNAcentral lists this ribosomal RNA (468 nucleotides) under uncultured bacterium. RNAcentral describes it as "partial 16S ribosomal RNA". It matches the Rfam family "Bacterial small subunit ribosomal RNA", at positions 28 to 507 of the family's 1533-position model. The record is from RNAcentral.
GACGAACGCUGGCGGCGUGCUUAACACAUGCAAGUCGAACGGAAAGGCCCUGCUUUUGUGGGGUGCUCGAGUGGCGAACGGGUGAGUAACACGUGAGUAACCUGCCCUUGACUUUGGGAUAACUUCAGGAAACUGGGGCUAAUACCGGAUAGGAGCUCCUGCUGCAUGGUGGGGGUUGGAAAGUUUCGGCGGUUGGGGAUGGACUCGCGGCUUAUCAGCUUGUUGGCGGGGUAGUGGCUUACCAAGGCUUUGACGGGUAGCCGGCCUGGGAGGGUGACCGGCGACAUUGGGACUGAGAUACGGCCCAGACUCCUACGGGAGGCAGCAGUGGGGAAUAUUGCACAAUGGGCGGAAGCCUGAUGCAGCAACGCCGCGUGCGGGAUGACGGCCUUCGGGUUGUAAACCGCUUUCGCCUGUGACGAAGCGUGAGUGACGGUAAUGGGUAAAGAAGCACCGGCUAACUACGUG